This is a non-coding RNA of Vicia faba (fava bean), 252 nucleotides long. The record is from the annotation of a GenBank genome assembly. Lineage: Eukaryota; Viridiplantae; Streptophyta; Magnoliopsida; Fabales; Fabaceae.
AUGAAGCCCAGAUCACACAUCUGUUCAAAUCCAACGAGAACCAACAGUCAGAAUCGCUCAGCCCCAUCACGAAGUCCUUCCGUGCAAACACCUCGAUCAACCCCCAGAAUCGCCGCUUCAACAAUCGCUCCACCAGCCGCCCCUUUUGCACCGUGCCACCGCAAAUUCACUGUUGGUAAUCCUUUUCCCUUUUUCAUGUUUGCGUUUUCACCUUUGGAUAAUAGUGGCUACUGUUUUUUCUAUUUGAAGUGA